This 117-nucleotide small nuclear RNA is filed under the name Chinchilla lanigera (long-tailed chinchilla). RNAcentral describes it as "U4 spliceosomal RNA (ENSCLAG00000020548.1)". The stretch from base 1 to 77 matches the Rfam family "U4 spliceosomal RNA". From Rfam's summary of the family: U4 small nuclear RNA (U4 snRNA) is a component of the major U2-dependent spliceosome. The structure of U4 snRNA from yeast and human has been reported. The record is from RNAcentral. Lineage: Eukaryota; Metazoa; Chordata; Mammalia; Rodentia; Chinchillidae.
AGCUUUGCACAGUGGCAGUAUCGUAGCCAGUGAGGUUUCUCCGAGGCACAAUUCUUGCUACUUGAAAAAGAAAAAACUUGGACUCCCGGCCUGGGGGUUUCCUGGAAGGAGGGCUUC